Long non-coding RNA from Gallus gallus (chicken), 688 nucleotides. The record is from Ensembl. NCBI's taxonomy places the organism in Eukaryota, Metazoa, Chordata, Aves, Galliformes, Phasianidae.
GUCUUUUUGUGGUCUUCUGUAUCUCUUUUUUUUCCUGAAAAAGGCUUUGCCAGAGUGCAGGACGGGGGCAUGCUGCUUGCAGGGAAGACUUCCAUACAGGAGCUUUGCCGUGGGUUAUAGAGGCAUUCCAGAGCUUGAGCAGAAUUCUGCAGACCUGAAAGAGAUGCCCUGGUUCAGAGCUGUAGAAGGAUUCAGCGAUGCCAAAAAGCCGUCUGAAUCAAAAAGAGAUGAUGAUCCUGAUGAAGAAGUUUUGCCUAGAGUGAUUGAAAAACCUAUCCUGCCAAAAAUUACAGUAUUUGCCAAGAAUGUGUGGGAUCCUUUAUCGACUUCACAGACUGAGAGCCUUACACAGCUUUGCGAUAACGUGUUUGAAAAACAGGUCCUGUCCAGAAGGGAAUGCAGUCAGGCAAAACAGGUAAAGGCUGUUGUGGUAAUGGGGAAGGAAGUUCUUGAUACAGUGUAUGCACUUCACUGUAAAUAUUCACUGUAACAUACACUUAGCCCAGUUCUGGUUUUAUUCUCAUGCGAAUCUGGGAGUUUAUCCAGCAUAAAGUAGGUGAAACUAAGUUGAUGUUUAGGCCCUUAGUAUGAAAAGAAAUAAUAACAAACAUUUAUGCAGUCGCCACACUUGACUUCAGGAAGAAGCUUUAGAUAAGGUUCUGUUUGUAUAGUAGCUGUGGUGUUUUGU